RNAcentral lists this ribosomal RNA (253 nucleotides) under uncultured bacterium. RNAcentral's name for it is "partial 16S ribosomal RNA". It matches the Rfam family "Bacterial small subunit ribosomal RNA", at positions 524 to 776 of the family's 1533-position model. The record is from RNAcentral.
UACGAAGGGAGCUAGCGUUGUUCGGAAUCACUGGGCGUAAAGCGCACGUAGGCGGAUGUGUCAGUCAGGGGUGAAAUCCCGGAGCUCAACUUCGGAACUGCCCUUGAUACAGCACAUCUGGAGUCCGGAAGAGGUGGGUGGAAUUCCUAGUGUAGAAGUGAAAUUCGUAGAUAUUAGGAAGAACACCGGUGGCGAAGGCGGCCCACUGGUCCGGUACUGACGCUGAGGUGCGAAAGCGUGGGGAGCAAACAGG